RNAcentral lists this ribosomal RNA (29 nucleotides) under Rhizopus microsporus var. chinensis. Its description in RNAcentral is "partial 18S rRNA". RNAcentral also lists the same sequence under 3 other names. The record is from RNAcentral. Lineage: Eukaryota; Fungi; Mucoromycota; Mucoromycetes; Mucorales; Rhizopodaceae.
UUUCCGUAGGUGAACCUGCGGAAAGGAUC